Molecule: RNA transcript, 1175 nt
Organism: Panicum virgatum (switchgrass)
Lineage: Eukaryota; Viridiplantae; Streptophyta; Magnoliopsida; Poales; Poaceae
Gene name: peptidyl-prolyl cis-trans isomerase CYP23-like
Exons: 10
Source: RefSeq, a predicted model, not a curated record
GUUAGGAAGACACUGGUGGCACCAAAAAUCAGAGGGCGCAAAAACCAAAAGGGUGGAAAAGGAAAAAUGGCGGUGAUACUCCGCCACGCCGCCGCCGCUGCGGCGCUCCUCGCCGUCGCGGCCGUCUGCGCCGGCGGGGCCUCCACGUUCUACUCCUCGGACCCCAAUCUCGGAUCCGCCCGCGUCGUCUUCCAGACAAAUUAUGGUGAUAUUGAGUUUGGCUUCUUUCCUCAUGUUGCGCCUAAGACUGUUGAGCACAUCUUCAAACUUGUGCGGCUUGGGUGCUACAACACAAAUCAUAUCUUCAGGGUCGACAAGGGAUUUGUGGUACAAGUUGCUGCUGUUGUGGGAGGUAGAACUGCCCCAAUGAAUGAGGUGCAGAAAAGAGAAGCAGAUAAAACAAUUGUUGGUGAAUUUAGUAGUGUCAAGCAUGUCAGGGGAAUCCUAUCCAUGGGAAGGCACUCAGAUCCAGAUAGCGGCGGUUCAUCCUUUUCUUUCCUUCUUGGCGAUGCUCCACACCUUGAUGGGCAGUAUGCUGUAUUUGGGAGGGUCACUAAAGGUGACGAUACAUUGAGAAAGCUAGAGAGGCUUCCAACCCGCAGAGAAGGCAUUUUUGUGAUGCCAAUUGAGCGAAUCGACAUCCUAUCAACAUACUAUUAUGAUAUUGAUAUAGAGAGCUGCGAAGCAGAAAAAUCUAUUCUUAGGAGGAGACUUUCUGAAUCAGCAUCAGAAGUUGAGCGAUGGAGAAGAAAAUGCUUUGCUUGAUGCUGGAUUGAGGCCAGUAGGCCAAUACAUCAACUAGAAAUUGUCUCUUCUGAAUCAGACCAGAAAUAGUUGGCUCAUCCCUUCUCCAGGGGCUGAUGGCCGAGGCAGAAUACGGACCGUAUGGAAAGUAAAUUCCCUGGAUGUGUAUGUCUUUAUACUCAACAGUUUUACAUGAGUCAAUGACAUAUAUAUAGCUGUAAUGCUAAGAAUAUAGAAACGUGGGUAGGACAUUCUGUGCAUCGUACUGUUGCUACACGAUGUCUCGGUAUGUACCAGUUGCGACAAGUUUAAGUUGAUCUCUCUUAUUCCCUUUUUAGCAUGGUUUUGCUAAACGAUGUAUGAUACUGGAACGUAUAAACUAUACUUGUGAGUUUGCGUCUCAGAGAAGGUGAAAUGACUAGUCUCCUAAA